RNAcentral lists this long non-coding RNA (216 nucleotides) under Panax ginseng (ginseng). Its description in RNAcentral is "long non-coding RNA (PGIN_LNC019102)". The record is from RNAcentral. Lineage: Eukaryota; Viridiplantae; Streptophyta; Magnoliopsida; Apiales; Araliaceae.
GUUAAUUGUUGUAGGAAAAUGGUUUGAUCAAAUUGAGGAGUUUGUACAGAUCUGGUUUUGCUUUGUCGGUAUUUUGUUCCUUUAGUUUAGUUCAGUUUUCGAUUGGGUUUCUUUUACCGAUUUGGCUUCCGAUGGAUUUCAAUUUUGAUUUACUGUGAAUUGAUGUAUGAUUCUUGCGGGCAAUUCGUGAUUUCAAUGUUUUGAUUUUUGGAACAG